GCGAGUGUAGCUCAGGGGUAGAGCACGACCUUGCCAAGGUCGGGGUCGAGGGUUCAAAUCCCUUCACUCGCUCAA
RNAcentral lists this transfer RNA (75 nucleotides) under Flavobacteriales bacterium TMED113. Its description in RNAcentral is "tRNA-Gly". It matches the Rfam family "tRNA". From Rfam's summary of the family: Transfer RNA (tRNA) molecules are approximately 80 nucleotides in length. RNAcentral also lists the same sequence under 1 other name. The record is from RNAcentral. Lineage: Bacteria; Pseudomonadati; Bacteroidota; Flavobacteriia; Flavobacteriales.